This is a long non-coding RNA of Astyanax mexicanus (Mexican tetra), 874 nucleotides long. RefSeq lists it as uncharacterized. NCBI's taxonomy places the organism in Eukaryota, Metazoa, Chordata, Actinopteri, Characiformes, Acestrorhamphidae. The record is from RefSeq and is a predicted model, not a curated record. The transcript is spliced from 2 exons.
UAAAGCUCACCUUCCGCGAAAAUCCGAUUUUUCUUGUUUUUUGUGGAAUACAGUAGGUCUCUCCGAGUUGAAUGUGUACACCUGCACAUUAAACUGUUUUGCAGCCCCCAUUGUCUGCAGGAGCUAAGCAAAGAAAUCCCCCCCCCCCUCCGAAAAACGGGUGAAUUUUGAAUUAUCUUUCUGCCUACGUAGGCAGAAACUCACAGACCAGCCCACCUUGGCUCGAGAAACUCCCAGAGGCGGAGCUGAAGCGACGCAACAUCACCGCUCAUCAGUUAGGAGGUGGGAGGCAGUGAGCGGCAGAGCGGUGGAGGGGCGUCGCAGUGCUCCUAGCCAAUCAGAGGAGAGAUAUUUGCAUGCUGUUUGCAUGUAUGAAUAUUCAUGAGCAAAGCUGGAAUCCGGUCAUUUUGGACACACCCCUAAAACAGUCCAUUAAAAAAGAGCUAUACAGAGACACCUGAGCACUUUUUUUUUACAAAAACGGCUCACAUGUCAUUCAUUCAUACUAGAGACCACAACUAGACAUUUUAAAAUGAAAGAAAAAACGACGGAAGGUGAGCUUUAAUUUGGUUUUUGAUGGUUGAAGUGGUUUAAAAGCUUCUAGCUAAGCUAAGGUAUGCUAUGGUAAGCUUGCUAGUGGUUGUUAAGCUUAAGACCAGCUAAACCAUCUUGUCAAGAAGCUUGAUUAGAUUGAGUGUAACUGCAAACAUAGUACUGUUUAAAAGUCUUAGUCCAGCACAGACUAGUGGUUUGCUUUGACAAUCUGAUGCUAUUUGAGCUAACAAGUUAUUGUACGGUAUUGUAGCAUCAUUGGGGUGGAGUAAGAUGGACCAGGCCAUUGUCCUAUUUAGCAAAUUUACUUAAAGGAGAACUC